Molecule: non-coding RNA, 1254 nt
Organism: Odocoileus virginianus texanus
Lineage: Eukaryota; Metazoa; Chordata; Mammalia; Artiodactyla; Cervidae
Source: RefSeq, a predicted model, not a curated record
GAAAGAAACACACUUUGCAGCCAUCAAUGUAAAACUGGACAGCUGCCUAAUUUUGAAUUUUCAUCAAUUACCAACAUUUUAAUUUCUGCUUAAUUGUAAAUACUAACAUUUAAUGUUAUUGAAUAAAUUUCAAAUAAUCCAGAAUAAAUGUUCAUUCUACCAUGAAAUUAAAAAUUAGUUAUUUCCACAACAAACAAGUUAAAUAAUCCAUUAACACAUCUUAGUCUUUACAAAAUUACCAAAUCAACUCAAAGGACAAGAGCAUAAACAGACUGCAGGCCAAGCUGUUAAAGCGCAUUUUUAGCUAGAUUAAUUCUGGUUCCCUCAAAGUACCUUGGAGAAUGUAGAAAAACAUAGUGAAUCCCACAGAGCAAUGAAUUCUGUAAUUUUCAUAUUGAUGAUAUUAACUUGAAGUUACUCUUUCCCAGGUACCCCUUAUUUAUAAGAAAAAAUAGCUUUGGUUUUUAAAAAUGCCUUCAUUUGAAGGGCUAAAAAUGUCAAACCUGUGACUGUUCUGCCAAAACUGCAAAUACAUUCCUAAGUUCCAAAAUUCUAUGGCAGAGUUUCCUAUUUACAAGCUGUAAGUAAACAAAAAACACUAAAACAAAAUUUCCUAAAUAGCUUGAAAUUCCAACAUUAUUUAUAAGCAUGUAGAAGAAAAUUAUCUGGAUUCUACAUAGUAAGCAGGUACAGUAUUUUAAAAUAUUCCAUGUAAAAUAUAACAAUAUUUUAAGAAAAAUGAUUUAUCUCUUGAUUAUAAUUUGACUAGCUUAGCUUCCUUACCAAACAUUAUCCUCUUCUCCCAAGCAAAGAACUGAAGUACAAAAGGCCAGAUUCUGCCUAGCAACAGAGUAAAUGAGUGGCAAGGAAAAUAAAAUUGGCAAAUUUAGCUGGCUUUGGUUUCCUGGUGCUUCAUUUCUUGCCUUUUACUAAACAAAGAUAAGUAAUCCAAACUAAUCAAUUUUCUUGACUACCUCAGGAACCCAGGACGGAGUAGAAUGGUUGACCACCAUCCACCUGAAACAGAACAGCUAAGGAAAAAAGUGGCCACCAGAGGAAGAACACUUGUCUGCAUCCUUUUCAGGACUCAUGUGGGAUUACUUUCCAGGUACAGCCAACAGACAGAUAUAUCCCAGUUACAGAAUGGAAACACUUUCUAAAAGAAGAGACUGAGGAAAGGCCAGGUAACUUACAGGGCAGAGAUGUGGCAGCAGCCUCAGGCGUCCCAGGGCACCCCGAGACAGGGGCUCCGGC